AUCGCUAGCUGCUGUGGCGUCUCGCCUCGAUCCCGCCCAUUACCGGGCUGCAGGUGAAGAAGCAGACCGCCGAAGCUUUUUGGGACACUGAAGUAUUUUUUUCAGUUGAUCGUAGAAGAAGCGAGCGAGGAACUGCACAUGUCGUCAUUUUAUAAACGAGAUCUUUUCUGGUCACGGCCAUUUUGCAGUGCAUGCGCUGUCAACAACUGAAGCUGCAUUAAAAA
This is a long non-coding RNA of Hippocampus comes (tiger tail seahorse), 224 nucleotides long. RefSeq lists it as uncharacterized. The transcript has 2 exons. The record is from RefSeq and is a predicted model, not a curated record. NCBI's taxonomy places the organism in Eukaryota, Metazoa, Chordata, Actinopteri, Syngnathiformes, Syngnathidae.